This 1065-nucleotide ribosomal RNA is filed under the name uncultured Ruminococcus sp. Its description in RNAcentral is "bacterial SSU rRNA". It matches the Rfam family "Bacterial small subunit ribosomal RNA", at positions 8 to 1086 of the family's 1533-position model. The record is from RNAcentral. Lineage: Bacteria; Bacillati; Bacillota; Clostridia; Eubacteriales; Oscillospiraceae.
AGAGUUUGAUCCUGGCUCAGGACGAACGCUGGCGGCACGCUUAACACAUGCAAGUCGAACGAAGUUAUUUGAGCUUGCUUAGAUAACUUAGUGGCGGACGGGUGAGUAACACGUGAGCAAUCUGCCUUUCAGAGGGGGAUACCGAUUGGAAACGAUCGUUAAUACCGCAUAACAUAGUAAAUUCGCAUGUUUUUACUAUCAAAGAUUUAUCGCUGAAAGAUGAGCUCGCGUCUGAUUAGGUAGUUGGUGAGGUAACGGCCCACCAAGCCGACGAUCAGUAGCCGGACUGAGAGGUUGAACGGCCACAUUGGGACUGAGACACGGCCCAGACUCCUACGGGAGGCAGCAGUGGGGAAUAUUGCACAAUGGAGGAAACUCUGAUGCAGCGAUGCCGCGUGAGGGAAGAAGGUUUUCGGAUUGUAAACCUCUGUGUACAGGGACGAUAAUGACGGUACCUGUUCAGAAAGCUCCGGCUAACUACGUGCCAGCAGCCGCGGUAAUACGUAGGGAGCGAGCGUUGUCCGGAAUUACUGGGUGUAAAGGGAGUGUAGGCGGGACGGCAAGUCAGAUGUGAAAUUUAGGGGCUCAACCCCUGACCUGCAUUUGAAACUGCUGUUCUUGAGUGAAGUAGAGGUAAGCGGAAUUCCUAGUGUAGCGGUGAAAUGCGUAGAUAUUAGGAGGAACACCAGUGGCGAAGGCGGCUUACUGGACGAUAACUGACGCUGAGGCUCGAAAGCGUGGGGAGCAAACAGGAUUAGAUACCCUGGUAGUCCACGCCGUAAACGAUGAUUACUAGGUGUGGGGGGACUGACCCCUUCCGUGCCGCAGUUAACACAAUAAGUAAUCCACCUGGGGAGUACGGUCGCAAGACUGAAACUCAAAGGAAUUGACGGGGGCCCGCACAAGCAGUGGAGUAUGUGGAUUAAUUCGAAGCAACGCGAAGAACCUUACCAGGUCUUGACAUCGAUCGAAUCCGAAAGAGAUUUUGGAGUGCCCUUCGGGGAACGUGAAGACAGGUGGUGCAUGGUUGUCGUCAGCUCGUGUCGUGAGAUGUUGGGUUAAGUC